AAUGGUUCUUGGGAGCUUUCUUCAGUCCACUCAUGGAAGGGGAAAGGGUUUGAAUUAGCUGCCGACUCAUUCAUUCAAACACAGUAGAAGAAUACGGCUUUGUACUACUGUGAAUGUGUGAAUGAUUCGGGAGACAAAUUUCGUCCUAUUCGUCUCUAUGAUUGGACUGAAGGGAGCUCCCGUUUACUAAUUU
RNAcentral lists this microRNA precursor (193 nucleotides) under Olea europaea subsp. europaea. RNAcentral describes it as "MIR159 microRNA precursor family". It matches the Rfam family "MIR159 microRNA precursor family". Lineage: Eukaryota; Viridiplantae; Streptophyta; Magnoliopsida; Lamiales; Oleaceae. The record is from Rfam by way of RNAcentral.